This 492-nucleotide ribosomal RNA is filed under the name uncultured bacterium. RNAcentral's name for it is "partial 16S ribosomal RNA". It matches the Rfam family "Bacterial small subunit ribosomal RNA", at positions 30 to 507 of the family's 1533-position model. The record is from RNAcentral.
AUUGAACGCUGGCGGCAUGCUUUACACAUGCAAGUCGAACGGUAACAGGCCUUCGGGUGCUGACGAGUGGCGAACGGGUGAGUAAUGCAUCGGAACGUGCCCAGAGGUGGGGGAUAACGCAGCGAAAGCUGUGCUAAUACCGCAUGUGAUCUGAGGAUGAAAGCGGGGGACCAGGCAGCAAUGUUUGGCCUCGCGCCUUUGGAGCGGCCGAUGUCAGAUUUGGUAGUUGGAGGGGUAAAGGCCUACCAAGCCGUCGAUCUGUAGCUGGUCUGAGAGGACGACCAGCCACACUGGGACUGAGACACGGCCCAGCCUCCUACGGGAGGCAGCAGUGGGGAAUUUUCGACAAUGGGCGCAAGCCUGAUCCAGCAAUGCCGCGUGGGGGAAGAAGGCCUUCGGGUUGUAAACCGCUUUUGUACGGAACGAAAAGGCUCUGGCUAAUACCUGGGGCUGAUGACGGUACCGUGAGAAUAAGCACCGGCUAACUACGUG